CCUGUCUGAAUAUGGGGGGACCAUCCUCCAAGGCUAAAUACUCCUGACUGACCGAUAGUGAACCAGUACCGUGAGGGAAAGGCGAAAAGAACCCCGGCGAGGGGAGUGAAAAAGAACCUGAAACCGUGUACGUACAAGCAGUGGGAGCACCUUCGGGUGUGACUGCGUACCUUUUGUAUAAUGGGUCAGCGACUUAUAUUCUGUAGCAAGGUUAACCGUAUAGGGGAGCCGCAGGGAAACCGAGUCUUAACUGGGCGUUAAGUUGCAGGGUAUAGACCCGAAACCCGGUGAUCUAGCCAUGGGCAGGUUGAAGGUUGGGUAACACUAACUGGAGGACCGAACCGACUAAUGUUGAAAAAUUAGCGGAUGACUUGUGGCUGGGGGUGAAAGGCCAAUCAAACCGGGAGAUAGCUGGUUCUCCCCGAAAGCU
This 430-nucleotide ribosomal RNA is filed under the name Klebsiella pneumoniae. RNAcentral's name for it is "partial 23S ribosomal RNA". It matches the Rfam family "Bacterial large subunit ribosomal RNA", at positions 433 to 867 of the family's 2925-position model. The record is from RNAcentral. Lineage: Bacteria; Pseudomonadati; Pseudomonadota; Gammaproteobacteria; Enterobacterales; Enterobacteriaceae.